Chiroxiphia lanceolata (lance-tailed manakin) is the source of this 271-nucleotide long non-coding RNA. RefSeq lists it as uncharacterized. The transcript is spliced from 3 exons. Lineage: Eukaryota; Metazoa; Chordata; Aves; Passeriformes; Pipridae. The record is from RefSeq and is a predicted model, not a curated record.
GAGUAACAGGAUUCAUGGAAUGAAGUAGUUGUGAGUCACCAUCUGAUUCCGACAUGAUUUGAAAGAUGUUACCAUAAAUAAACCAAGAAAAUGCAGAAUGGCUGAGGAUUAUUUUUUAAGCAAAAGCACACUGUGAUGCUGUCACACUAAUAUAGCAUGAAACCUGUCUAUGGCAUAAAAACAGAUCAAGGAAGUCAUCUGACACUCUCUGGCUGAAGGAGCUGUUGGGGAAAGUCAGUGACCAGCUUUGUUGUUCCAAAAUAAAAUGGAG